Molecule: ribosomal RNA, 253 nt
Filed under: uncultured bacterium
Lineage: Bacteria
Description: partial 16S ribosomal RNA
Rfam family: Bacterial small subunit ribosomal RNA
Source: RNAcentral
UACGUAGGGCGCAAGCGUUGUCCGGAAUUACUGGGCGUAAAGCGCGCGUAGGCGGUCUUUCAAGUCAGGAGUGAAAGCCCCGGGCUCAACUCGGGAAUAGCUCUUGAUACUGUUGGACUUGAGUCCGGGAGAGGAUAGUGGAAUUCCCAGUGUAGAGGUGAAAUUCGUAGAUAUUGGGAAGAACACCAGUGGCGAAGGCGGCUAUCUGGACCGGUACUGACGCUGAGGCGCGAAAGCGUGGGGAGCAAACAGG